GAAAUUUGAUAAUUUAUUUGCAGUGUUUCUCUAUUUAUUAAAAGCUGACAAUUUCUCUAACAGUUUUUCUUGUAUAUUCCUUCUGUAGUGUUUUCUUUUGUUUCAGGUGAAAACCGAUGGAGAUGGAGGCUUUGUCUAUUGACGAUUUGGUGCCGCAGAGGGUUUUGGGCCCUGUACUCCAGGCUUUUAUGGUUCAAACUUCGAUUAAUAUUGCAAACUUUCUUGCUUUCCUUCUUUUUACGGUAUAAAACACUCCUUUUUUCACUAUAUCUUUGCUCAAUAAUUCUGUGUCAUUCAUUUUGUACGAAGUUUCGAUUUUUGGAUGCGUGCUUGUCACAUAAUCUUUUAAUAAAUUUUGGAUUUUUGUGUACAAAAUCAGAG
Molecule: long non-coding RNA, 381 nt
Filed under: Olea europaea subsp. europaea
Lineage: Eukaryota; Viridiplantae; Streptophyta; Magnoliopsida; Lamiales; Oleaceae
Source: RNAcentral